Molecule: ribosomal RNA, 2058 nt
Filed under: Triticum aestivum (bread wheat)
Lineage: Eukaryota; Viridiplantae; Streptophyta; Magnoliopsida; Poales; Poaceae
Description: partial small subunit ribosomal RNA
Source: RNAcentral
AUGGACACCACUGUCGUGAUCGUGUCGCUCAUGUUUCUUCAGCUCCUAGUGACAGCACUGGCCGCUCCGAUCGCCUUGCCUGGCUGCCCGGAGACCUGCGGCGACGUCACCGUGCCCUACCCAUUCGGCACCCGCAAGGGCUGCUUCCGCCAGGGCUUCGACCUCACCUGCGACGGGACGCGCCAUCCACCAAAGCUGUCCCUGGGCGGUGACCAUGGCGCGGAGGUGGUCGGCAUCUCUUUGCCGGACGGCACGGUGCGGAUCCGCACCAGGAUUCUCGACACGAGCUCCCUCCAGCAGCUCAACGGCACAUGGUCCGCCGGCCUGCGGCCCGGCGGGCCCCUGGCGCUGUCGGCCAGGCACAACCGCUUCGUCGCCAUGGGAUGCAACCUCCUCGCCAACCUCGUGGCGCACGACACGUUAUACUCCGCCAGCGACCGCAUCGGCGUCUGCGCGGCGCUCUGCGUGUCCCGCUCCGCGCUGCUGCCGCCGAGGGACGCCUCCUCCGCCUCCUGCUCCGGCGUCGGUUUUCGGAGACUAUAUGAAAAAGGAUGGUGUAGCUGUUCUCUAGGAUACGAUGGCAACGCAUACAUCACUGAUGGGUGCCAAGUUAUAUGUUAGUAGGUAGUUUCUUACAUAUUUGCAGUAGUUAUAUCAUUACAAGAGAACAUGUGUGUCCUAUCUUUGUUUAUUUUUCCAUUUGAUAUAUAAAGCCUCCUGCGUUCCAACAAUGUAUUUUUUCCUUCAGAUAUCGACGAGUGCCUACAACCAGAAGUUUAUCCCUGCAAUGGUACCUGUGUCAAUAUGCAAGGGACAUACCGUUGCUCAGCAAAGAAAAACAUCAUUAACUUAGCAGGUCCAUUUACCAUAACAGCAAUUGUUGUUGGUUUUGGCCUACUAUUUUCACUCCUGGGUGUUGCCCAAGUCACAAAAAAACUCAAGAAACGAAGAGCCAAGAAGUUUAGACAAAAGUUGUUUAGGAAAAACCAUGGAUUUCUUCUGCAACAGUUGAUCUCUUCAAACAAAGAUAUAGCCGAAAAGAUGAAGAUUUUCAGCUUAAAAGAGCUAGAGCAAGCAACCAACAAAUUUGACCAUAACCGUAUCCUUGGUGACGGUGGGCAUGGCACGGUGUAUAAAGGCAUCUUAUCUGAUCAACGUGUUGUGGCCAUCAAGAAGGCCAAAAAUGUUGUGCAGAGGGAAAUUGACGAGUUUAUAAAUGAGGUUGUUAUACUUUCACAGACAAACCAUAGGAAUGUGGUGAAGCUCUUUGGUUGCUGCCUCGAGACAGAAGUUCCUCUGCUAGUUUAUGAGUUCAUUUCAAAUGGAACUCUCUCGUCUUAUCUCCAUGGCCAACUUGAGAACCAUUUGUCAUGGAAAGAUCGAUUGAGGAUUGCAUUGGAAACUGCCAAGGCUAUUGCAUAUCUACACUCAGCUGCUUCCAUAUCAGUAUACCAUAGAGACAUCAAAUGCGCCAAUAUACUACUUACCGACGCUUUAACAGCAAAAGUAUCAGAUUUUGGAGCUUCGAGGUCAAUUGCAAUAGACGAAACAGGAAUACUUACAGUCGUGCAAGGAACCUAUGGUUACCUUGAUCCUGAAUACUACUACACUAGUCGACUGACAGAGAAGAGUGAUGUUUACAGCUUUGGUGUGAUCCUAGCAGAGCUACUAACGGGGGUUACACCAGUUUUUUCUUCUCAUUCAUCGGAAGCCACAAGCCUAGCAUCACACUUUGUAUCACUAAUGAGAGACAAUUGUCUGUUAGCUAUUCUAGAUACACAAAUUGUUCUUGAAGGAGGAGUUGAAGAUGUUGAGGUGGUUGCAAGACUUGCACAUGCAUGCUUAAGCUUAAAAGGGGAAGAAAGACCUACAAUGAGGGAAGUUGAGACAAUACUUGAAGAUGUCCAAAGCUCAAAUAUCCAUCACAAUUCUCAAACAAUAAGAGUGGGCCAGAGUCCUCUAAAAGACCAGCCAUGGAAGGGGAACAAUGGUGGCGAAGGAAGUAGAGUAUAUAGCUUGGAAAAGGAGUUCAUCCAUUCAUUGGAAAUUCCAAUAUGA